This 201-nucleotide non-coding RNA is filed under the name Peptoniphilus sp. RNAcentral's name for it is "T-box sequence". It matches the Rfam family "T-box leader". Rfam says of the family: Uncharged tRNA acts as the effector for transcription antitermination of genes in the T-box leader family. T-boxes are found upstream of many aminoacyl-tRNA synthetase genes and some amino acid biosynthetic genes usually in Gram-positive bacteria. The anticodon of a specific tRNA base pairs to a specifier sequence within the T-box motif, and the NCCA acceptor tail of the tRNA base pairs to a conserved bulge in the T-box antiterminator hairpin. Lineage: Bacteria; Bacillati; Bacillota; Tissierellia; Tissierellales; Peptoniphilaceae. The record is from RNAcentral.
AUAAUAGCAAGAGAGAAGAGGAGUAGUAUUAAGCUUACUUUAGAGAGAUGUUGCGUGGUGAAAAACAUUGUACAGUUAAUAUGAAGGUUACUUUUCUGCUUUGCAGAGGAUAAGUCUGCAACGGGCAACCGUUAAAUUAUAUGAGCUGAUUAUUAUUUUAUAGUCAGAAAUUAAGGUGGUACCACGUCCUUCGUCCUUAUG